RNAcentral lists this ribosomal RNA (440 nucleotides) under uncultured bacterium. RNAcentral describes it as "partial 16S ribosomal RNA". It matches the Rfam family "Bacterial small subunit ribosomal RNA", at positions 339 to 795 of the family's 1533-position model. The record is from RNAcentral.
CUACGGGCUGCUCCAGUAGGGAAUCUUAGACAAUGGGGGAAACCCUGAUCUAGCCAUGCCGCGUGAGUGAUGAAGGCCUUAGGGUUGUAAAGCUCUUUCGCUGGGGAAGAUAAUGACGGUACCCAGUAAAGAAACCCCGGCUAACUCGCGUGCCAGCAGCCGCGGUAAUACGGAGGGGGUUAGCGUUGUUCGGAAUUACUGGGCGUAAAGCGCGCGUAGGCGGGCUAUUAAGUCAGGGGUGAAAUCCCGGGGCGCAACCCCGGAACUGCCUUUGAUACUGGUAGUCUUGAGUUCGAGAGAGGUGAGUGGAAUUCCGAGUGUAGAGGUGAAAUUCGUAGAUAUUCGGAGGAACAUCAGUGGCGAAGGCGACUCACUGGCUCGAUACUGACGCUGAGGUGCGAAAGUGUGGGGAGCAAACAGGAUUAGAUACCCGGGUAGUC